GUUUGAGAGGAGUUGUGAUGACAAGAAACAGGACUGAUAGACUGGCUGAUGGACGGACGGACGGGUCAAAAAUGUUAUACCCUGCGCCACUUCCUUGUGUAGGGUAUAAAAAUAGGAAGAUGGGGUGUCAUUGUUUAUGAGGCAACUCUUCACCAGAGACCAAUUUACAUAGAAGAUAACAAUUAUGUCCCCGUACGGACUUCAACAAUUACUAUAAACUGAUAUACCACAUAGUCAAACAAAUAAAAGUCCCAGAAAUUACGUUUUUUUUAUAUGACUGCACAUAAUGAAAAUUAAAGUUGUGCAUACUGAAUGAUCACUGGCAAGUAUUUCAAGCAUAAUACGGAUGAGAACAUGCAGAUAAGUAUCAAUUAUGAAAGUUAUGCAAAGUAAGACGGGAGCUAGAUAUAUGGACUGCCAUAAAAAAAA
RNAcentral lists this long non-coding RNA (429 nucleotides) under Mytilus galloprovincialis (Mediterranean mussel). The record is from RNAcentral. Lineage: Eukaryota; Metazoa; Mollusca; Bivalvia; Mytilida; Mytilidae.